Molecule: non-coding RNA, 748 nt
Filed under: Gallerucida bifasciata
Lineage: Eukaryota; Metazoa; Arthropoda; Insecta; Coleoptera; Chrysomelidae
Source: RNAcentral
AAUAAGAUUUAUUUUAUCUUAAAAAUUGAAUAUAUUUUUAUAGUUAUAUGUAAAAUUUUUUUUUGAGGAAAUAGCAGUAAUUAGAUUUAAUUAUUAAAGAAAUUUAGAAUUAGUAAUAAAUAUUUAUAUUAACAAAAUUUGUGCCAGCAGUUGCGGUUAUACAAAUAAUAUAAUUUAAUUUUUUUAAUAUUAAUUAGUUGAAUAAAGUUUAAUUUUAAUAGGUAGUUUAUAGGGUGAAAUUUUAAAUUAUUAUUAAAAUUAAUAUAUUUAAAUGAAUGUAUGAAAAUUAAAAUUAAAACUAGGAUUAGAUACCCUAUUAUUUUAAAUGUAUUUUUUUUAUUAGAUUAGUAGUAGUUAUGUUCUUGAAAAUUAAAAAUUUUGGCGGUAUUUUAUUCUAAUCAGAGGAACCUGUUGUAUAAAUGAUAUUCCACGAUUAAAUUUACUUUUAUUAUUAGUUUACAUAUCGUCGUAGUUAAAUAUUUUUUUAGAAUGAAAAAUAUUUAUGAUUUUUAAUUAAAAAAUAAAUCAGAUCAAGGUGUAGUUUAUAUAAAAGUAUUAAUGGGUUACAAAAAAAAUAUUUAAGGAUAAUUAUUUUUAAUAGUAAUUUGAAUAUGGAUUUGUUAGUAAAAUUUUUUAUUUUAAAAUUUUGAUUUUAGAUAUAAAGUAUGUACAUAUUGCCCGUCGCUUUCAUUUAAAGUGAAAUAAGUCGUAACAUAGUAGACUUACCGGAAGGUGUGUCUAGAUUCAA